This is a long non-coding RNA of Biomphalaria glabrata, 431 nucleotides long. RefSeq lists it as uncharacterized. Lineage: Eukaryota; Metazoa; Mollusca; Gastropoda; Planorbidae. The record is from RefSeq and is a predicted model, not a curated record. The transcript is spliced from 2 exons.
UAAAAAAAUUAACGAGAUUUGAAAUGGCUAUGUCAUGGCCGAAAGCGGAAGUGACGUUUUAGUAUGGAAAUAGGGGAAAAAUGUCGAGCUCAAGACACUAGAUCUAGCUAGACCGCCUAGAGGAUUCUAGAUCUUGUUUUUUGUUAUUAAGACCAACUUAACGUAGACAAUUUAGUCUUAUUACUAAAUUAAACCUGACAUUGGCUAAAAGAUGAUCUGAAGCGUUCAACAGUGGAUGGCUGCCUGAUUGUGUGUUAUGCCAGCUGGACUGUUAUUUUAUAAGACUGUUGAGCAUCUUUUACUUAUAAAUCUAAAAGCUGAUGCUAUGACACUCAAUGGCUUAGAAGAAAUCCUGUCAGUUUUAUAUGGUCAUGACAAUAAUCUUUAAUAAAUAAGUCUUAUACAAGGACACUAAAGAUUAUUAUUAUUAU